GAAUGUGGGUCUCCUGUCUUCCAGGUUAGUAGCUGUUCUGGGGCAGUGAAGUUAGUGUUUCACUUGUCUUGCAUGAAUUUUUGGUAGACUCUUUGUCUACAAAAUAUUUUGCUCAAAAAAGAAUGAAAUAAUUUUUAAGACUCAAAAAAUCCCCAUUUUGUAGUAUGGGAAAAAUAUCUAAGACCUUGUUUUCUUAAGGAUAUAAGCUUUUUUUUUUUUUUUUUCUCAGAUUCUUUGUGAUGGUCAGCAAGUCAUCUCUCACUGCUUUAAUUCUUUUUCUAAGAUCUGUUGCUAUUCUCCUGCCUCAUAUUAUCUGUAUGGACACUAUUCCUAUAAAAAUUCCUGACUGUAUGUUGAACACAGACCAGUGUUAAAGGGGGCAUCUCCCCAGGCUGGCAUGAGAAUCAGAGCUGUGGCAUCAGACAGGAAUGUCUCACCUACUGUUGCUGGGGUGCAGAGCCUUCAGAUGCUCCUCAAAAAGAAGCCAGUCCUUUCCCAAGAUCUCAGUGUAUAGAAGUUAUAGAAACAAGUUGGAGUUCUGUCUGCAAAAGUAGAAGCUGGUAUUUUGUUGAAGUAAAUCAGAACUUUGCCACUGACUUCUCUGUGACUGUGUCUCAGCUGUGAAAACAGCAAGUAUUGGGCCAGUUUGCACAAAAUGCUCAGCACCCUGCAUGAUCUUUUCUACAGAAAAUGACUGCUUUUUAACUCAGGAGGUGUGCAGUUCCUUAUGCUGACAUGACUGGCACCUUUCUGAGAAGUCCUUGCCACUACUGACCUGAUUUUAAGGUAUAAAUAUAAACAUGUAUCACCUGGACCAGACCUCACUACUAGGAGCUGACUCAGACUGUAUGGCAGGUUUGAAAAGAAAACCUUUUAUCUAAACAAGAGGCUCCUGAAUCUGCUUGUUCUCCUGCGGUUUUCAUCAAUGAUCCUGAAGGAAAAUACCAGCGGACGCAUAUCACCAAUAGCAAGAAAAUACUAUUUAAAGCUAUUUACCUUCCUAUGUAUUUUUGUUAUGUUCUGUUUCUUUUAUUUGAUUAGUUGGUUGCCAGAAAAAAAGAUGACAUGCUAAUUACUUUUGUAAUUGUUACACCAGUAUAGUGCUGACAGUCAAUAUUACUGUGGUCUGCAGUCAGAUAUCUGUAUUGUUACAUAUUACUAUGCAUCAGUGAUUCUUGAUGAUAUAUGAAGUGAAUAUUACUGGGUUUUUUCAACUUCCUAAGGAGGGCUGGAAGCACCCUGAGAAUGUGAGUGCUAAUUAUAUAGACCACAGAGACAAUUUUUUUCUCUUUGCUGAAAUAUAUACAUUAGAAAACAUAGAAACCAGAAAACCUUGGAUGAUCAAUAGUAGCUCUGUUUAGUGUUUAAAAAAGCUUCUGGAGAGUAUUAUGUAUUGCUGAAACUUAUGUAAGAAAAGACAUUAAAAUUCCUCUGUUCUGUGGGA
Pezoporus flaviventris is the source of this 1444-nucleotide long non-coding RNA. RefSeq lists it as uncharacterized. The record is from RefSeq and is a predicted model, not a curated record. NCBI's taxonomy places the organism in Eukaryota, Metazoa, Chordata, Aves, Psittaciformes, Psittacidae. The transcript has 2 exons.